Molecule: ribosomal RNA, 482 nt
Filed under: uncultured bacterium
Lineage: Bacteria
Description: partial 16S ribosomal RNA
Rfam family: Bacterial small subunit ribosomal RNA
Source: RNAcentral
AUUGAACGCUGGCGGCAUGCCUUACACAUGCAAGUCGAACGGUAACGGGCCUUCGGGUGCCGACGCGUGGCGAACGGGCGAGUAAUACAUCGGAACGUGCCCGAUCGUGGGCGAUAACGAGGCGAAAGCUUUGCUAAUACCGCAUACGAUCUACGGAUGGGAGCAGGGGCCCGCAAGGCCUUGCGCGGACGGAGCGGCCGAUGGCAGAUUAGGUAGUCGGUGGGAUAAAAGCUUACCAAGCCGACGAUCUGUAGCUGGCCUGAGAGGAUGAUCAGCCACACUGGGACUGAGACACGGCCCAGACUUCUACGGGAGGCAGCAGUGGGGAAUUUUGGACAAAGGGCGCAAGCCUGAUACAGCCAUGCCGCGUGCAGGAUGAAGGCCUUCGGGUGGUAAACUGCUUUUGUACGGAACGAAAAGCCUUCUUUUAAUACAGGAGGUUCAUGACGGUACCGUAAGAAUAAGCACCGGCUAACUACGUG